GAUCCUGGCUCAGGACGAACGCUGGCGGCGUGCCUAAUACAUGCAAGUAGAACGCUGAAGGAGGAGCUUGCUUCUCUGGAUGAGUUGCGAACGGGUGAGUAACGCGUAGGUAACCUGCCUGGUAGCGGGGGAUAACUAUUGGAAACGAUAGCUAAUACCGCAUAAGAGUAGAUGUUGCAUGACAUUUACUUAAAAGGUGCAAUUGCAUCACUACCAGAUGGACCUGCGUUGUA
This 233-nucleotide ribosomal RNA is filed under the name uncultured bacterium. RNAcentral's name for it is "partial 16S ribosomal RNA". It matches the Rfam family "Bacterial small subunit ribosomal RNA", at positions 15 to 240 of the family's 1533-position model. The record is from RNAcentral.